CCAAAGGCUCUUUUAAGAGCCACCCCAAAUACUUUAAAAAGGGCCCG
Felis catus (domestic cat) is the source of this 47-nucleotide regulatory RNA element. It matches the Rfam family "Histone 3' UTR stem-loop". Rfam says of the family: The mRNAs of metazoan histone genes lack a poly-A tail. Lineage: Eukaryota; Metazoa; Chordata; Mammalia; Carnivora; Felidae. The record is from Rfam.